UCGAGAGGCUUUGUCAAUGGGGGAAACCCUGAACAAGCGACGCCGCGUGGAGGAUGAAGGCCCUUGGGUUGUAAACUCCUUUUGCCGGGGAAGAAGUGCGAUCAGGUGAACAAUCUGGUCGUUUGACGGUACCUGGCGAAUAAGCUCCGGCCAACUCCGUGCCAGCAGCCGCGGUAACCCGGGGGGGGCAGGCGUUGUUCGGAAUCACUGGGCGUAAAGGGCGUGUAGGCGGUCAGGUAAGUGGACUGUGAAAUGCCCCGGCUCACCCGGGGACCGGCAUC
RNAcentral lists this ribosomal RNA (281 nucleotides) under uncultured prokaryote. RNAcentral's name for it is "partial 16S ribosomal RNA". It matches the Rfam family "Bacterial small subunit ribosomal RNA", at positions 355 to 627 of the family's 1533-position model. The record is from RNAcentral.